GGUAUAGCUCAAGUGGUAGAGUGUAUGCUUAGCAUGCACAAGGUCCUGGGUUCAAUCCCCAGUACC
This 66-nucleotide transfer RNA is filed under the name Camelus bactrianus (Bactrian camel). It matches the Rfam family "tRNA". Rfam says of the family: Transfer RNA (tRNA) molecules are approximately 80 nucleotides in length. Their secondary structure includes four short double-helical elements and three loops (D, anti-codon, and T loops). The record is from Rfam by way of RNAcentral. Lineage: Eukaryota; Metazoa; Chordata; Mammalia; Artiodactyla; Camelidae. RNAcentral also lists the same sequence under 1 other name.